Molecule: microRNA precursor, 83 nt
Filed under: Ornithorhynchus anatinus (platypus)
Lineage: Eukaryota; Metazoa; Chordata; Mammalia; Monotremata; Ornithorhynchidae
Description: mir-1422 microRNA precursor family
Rfam family: mir-1422 microRNA precursor family
Source: Rfam by way of RNAcentral
AUGAUUCUGGUUUCAAUCCAGGCAAGUGUUUCUAUAUGUACAGAUAAUGUAGAAAAUCUUGUGUGGAUUGGAACCAGGGUCAU